RNAcentral lists this long non-coding RNA (354 nucleotides) under Phoenix dactylifera (date palm). Its description in RNAcentral is "long non-coding RNA (PDAC_LNC011434)". The record is from RNAcentral. Lineage: Eukaryota; Viridiplantae; Streptophyta; Magnoliopsida; Arecales; Arecaceae.
GAGCAGGCAAAUGCUCUAAACUCAUAUAGUGCCUUCAAGAAGCCCACUCCCAAUUCAUUCAGCCCAGUCUACCACCCUGAUAAUAGGUUCCACCCAAAUUUCUCAUACAAGCAAAAUGAACCUAUUCAACAUCAAGGUGGUCCACCAGGUUUUCAGAAGAAUUUUCCCAGGAUAGGUCCAUCACAAAUAAACCAAUCAUUGGCUCCACCUAUUCCUACUUAUAGUGCCCCUAUCCCUCAGCAAACUACAUCAUUGGAAGCCAUGAUGGCUAACAUGAUGAAGCAGCAACAAGACUUCAUCCAACAACAACAACAGACCAACAUGGCUCAAACCCAGACUAACCAAUUCCAUGCG